Molecule: ribosomal RNA, 468 nt
Filed under: uncultured bacterium
Lineage: Bacteria
Description: partial 16S ribosomal RNA
Rfam family: Bacterial small subunit ribosomal RNA
Source: RNAcentral
GACGAACGCUGGCGGCGUGCUUAACACAUGCAAGUCGAACGGAAAGGCCCUGCUUUUGUGGGGUGCUCGAGUGGCGAACGGGUGAGUAACACGUGAGUAACCUGCCCUUGACUUUGGGAUAACUUCAGGAAACUGGGGCUAAUACCGGAUAGGAGCUCCUGCUGCAUGGUGGGGGUUGGAAAGUUUCGGCGGUUGGGGAUGGACUCGCGGCUUAUCAGCUUGUUGGUGGGGUAGUGGCUUACCAAGGCUUUGACGAGUAGCCGGCCUGAGAGGGUGACCGGCCACAUUGGGACUGAGAUACGGCCCAGACUCCUACGGGAGGCAGCAGUGGGGGAUAUUGCACAAUGGGCGGAAGCCUGAUGCAGCAACGCCGCGUGCGGGAUGACGGCCUUCGGGUUGUAAACCGCUUUCGCCUGUGACGAAGCGUGAGUGACGGUAAUGGGUAAAGAAGCACCGGCUAACUACGUG